AAUGGGCGAAAGCCUGAUCCAGCCAUUCCGCGUGAGUGAAGAAGGCCUUCGGGUUGUAAAGCUCUUUCGGCAGGAAAGAAAUCGUUGCCCCUAAUACGGGUAAUGGAUGACGGUACCUGAAGAAGAAGCACCGGCUAACUACGUGCCAGCAGCCGCGGUAAUACGUAGGGUGCGAGCGUUAAUCGGAAUUACUGGGCGUAAAGCGUGCGCAGGCGGUUUUGUAAGUCAGAUGUGAAAGCCCCGGGCUCCACCUGGGAAUGGCGUUUGAAACUGCAAGGCUAGAGUGUGUCAGAGGGGGGUAGAAUUCCACGUGUAGCAGUGAAAUGCGUAGAGAUGUGGAGGAAUACCGAUGGCGAAGGCAGCCCCCUGGGAUAACACUGACGCUCAUGCACGAAAGCGUGGGGAGCAAA
RNAcentral lists this ribosomal RNA (410 nucleotides) under uncultured bacterium. RNAcentral describes it as "bacterial SSU rRNA". It matches the Rfam family "Bacterial small subunit ribosomal RNA", at positions 370 to 772 of the family's 1533-position model. The record is from RNAcentral.